ACGUAGGGAGCAAGCGUUGUCCGGAAUUAUUGGGCGUAAAGGGUGCGUAGGCGGCUUUGCAAGUCAGAUGUGAAAUCCCCGGGCUUAACUCGGGUAUUGCAUUUGAAACUGUAAAGCUUGAGUAAAGAAGAGGUAAGUGGAAUUCCUAGUGUAGCGGUGAAAUGCGUAGAUAUUAGGAGGAACACCAGUGGCGAAGGCGACUUACUGGUCUUUUACUGACGCUGAGGCACGAAAGCGUGGGGAGCAAACAG
RNAcentral lists this ribosomal RNA (251 nucleotides) under uncultured prokaryote. RNAcentral's name for it is "partial 16S rRNA". It matches the Rfam family "Bacterial small subunit ribosomal RNA", at positions 525 to 775 of the family's 1533-position model. The record is from RNAcentral.